RNAcentral lists this long non-coding RNA (369 nucleotides) under Mus musculus (house mouse). RNAcentral's name for it is "long non-coding RNA chr17:37376855-37377224". Lineage: Eukaryota; Metazoa; Chordata; Mammalia; Rodentia; Muridae. The record is from RNAcentral.
GUUUUGAAACUCUCUUGUUUAAUGAUCAUGUAAGUGAGAUUGGAUCAGUGACUUCUCCAUUUGCUGGCAUUUUUCUGCUUCAUCUCUCCUAAUUUUACCUAUGUGCACAUAUUCUCUACUGAGCUAAGGAUGCCAUUUGUGGAGGGCAAAACCAGUGUCUUUUCUACUUGUCUUUGCCACAUAGACAAGUAUUUUGUUUAUCCCUACUGGUAUCUUUGAGUUUCUAAAUCACAUACAGAAUCUUCAACUUCACUAGACUUUAUUCUUAAUUUUUCAUACUUUUCCCUUUCAACACUCAAUCCAGGAAUCUACAGCCUGAGAAAUGAGGCUGUAGACACAGUCCAAAGGAAGAUUUUUUUUUCAAAGAAA